UACGUAGGGGGCAAGCGUUGUCCGGAUUUAUUGGGCGUAAAGAGCGUGUAGGCGGCCAUACAGGUCAGCUGUGAAAACUCGAGGCUCAACCUCGAGAGGUCGGUUGAAACCGUAUGGCUAGAGUCCGGAAGAGGAGAGUGGAAUUCCCGGUGUAGCGGUGAAAUGCGCAGAUAUCGGGAAGAACACCCGUGGCGAAGGCGGCUCUCUGGGACGGUACUGACGCUGAGACGCGAAAGCGUGGGGAGCGAACAGG
This 253-nucleotide ribosomal RNA is filed under the name uncultured bacterium. RNAcentral's name for it is "partial 16S ribosomal RNA". It matches the Rfam family "Bacterial small subunit ribosomal RNA", at positions 524 to 776 of the family's 1533-position model. The record is from RNAcentral.